UCACGUUUGGAACCACAUUUUUGGCAUCGCAUGAAAUCAUAAAUUUCACAUUACCCUCAUCUGCUUCUAUGCACAGAAACAGGACUAAAAACAGAAGAAAAAAGAAAAACAAGAAAAAAAUAAAUAAAAAUCCUAGAUAGUACCACCUCGCCUUGUCAAGGGAAAGCGAGCCAAAAACAUUGUCCUUCAAAGUGUAAGCGCCGUCUUCAGCGAAGCCCCUCCCCCCCUCAAACCACAAGACAUUUAGUGCUUUUAUCAACAAUUUUAUGAAAGUUGAUGGCUGUCCUUUACUACAUGCCCUGAGAAAAUCAUCUCCAUGGGUACUUCUCUCUGACAAGGCACAGAUAGAAAAUGAUGAUGCCUCCGUAGGUGGAAUGUGAUGGGCGCCGUCUCGCAUCGUUGUGGUGGGAGCCAAAGGGAGCAGGGGAAG
This 430-nucleotide long non-coding RNA is filed under the name Penaeus japonicus. RNAcentral describes it as "uncharacterized LOC122251776". Lineage: Eukaryota; Metazoa; Arthropoda; Malacostraca; Decapoda; Penaeidae. The record is from RNAcentral.